This 507-nucleotide ribosomal RNA is filed under the name uncultured Glomeraceae. RNAcentral's name for it is "SSU rRNA". It matches the Rfam family "Eukaryotic small subunit ribosomal RNA", at positions 569 to 1078 of the family's 1831-position model. Lineage: Eukaryota; Fungi; Glomeromycota; Glomeromycetes; Glomerales; Glomeraceae. The record is from RNAcentral.
AGCAGCCGCGGUAAUUCCAGCUCCAAUAGCGUAUAUUAAAGUUGCUGCAGUUAAAAAGCUCGUAGUUGAAUUUCGGGACCAAUAUGUCGGUCGUGCCUCGGUACGUACUGGCAUCGUUGGUUUCUCCCUUCUGACGAACCAUGAUAUCAUUUAUUUGGUGUUGCGAGGAAUCUGGACUGUUACUUUGAAAAAAUUAGAGUGUUUAAAGCAGGCUAACGCUUGAAUACAUUAGCAUGGAAUAAUGAAAUAGGACGUUCGAUCUUAUUUUGUUGGUUUCUAAGAUUGACGUAAUGAUUAAUAGGGAUAGUUGGGGGCAUUAGUAUUCAAUUGUCAGAGGUGAAAUUCUUGGAUUUAUUGAAGACUAACUACUGCGAAAGCAUUUGCCAAGGAUGUUUUCAUUAAUCAAGAACGAAAGUUAGGGGAUCGAAGACGAUCAGAUACCGUCGUAGUCUUAACCAUAAACUAUGCCGACUAGGGAUCGGCUGAUGUUAAUUUUUUAAUGACUCA